CUUGGGUCAUUUAGAGGAAGUAAAAGUCGUAACAAGGUUUCCGUAGGUGAACCUGCGGAAGGAUCAUUACCGAGUGAGGGCCCUUUGGGUCCAACCUCCCACCCGUGUUUAUUUACCUUGUUGCUUCGGCGGGCCCGCCUUAACUGGCCGCCGGGGGGCUUACGCCCCCGGGCCCGCGCCCGCCGAAGACACCCUCGAACUCUGUCUGAAGAUUGUAGUCUGAGUGAAAAUAUAAAUUAUUUAAAACUUUCAACAACGGAUCUCUUGGUUCCGGCAUCGAUGAAGAACGCAGCGAAAUGCGAUACGUAAUGUGAAUUGCAAAUUCAGUGAAUCAUCGAGUCUUUGAACGCACAUUGCGCCCCCUGGUAUUCCGGGGGGCAUGCCUGUCCGAGCGUCAUUGCUGCCCUCAAGCCCGGCUUGUGUGUUGGGCCCCGUCCUCCGAUUCCGGGGGACGGGCCCGAAAGGCAGCGGCGGCACCGCGUCCGGUCCUCGAGCGUAUGGGGCUUUGUCACCCGCUCUGUAGGCCCGGCCGGCGCUUGCCGAUCAACCCAAAUUUUUAUCCAGGUUGACCUCGGAUCAGGUAGGGAUACCCGCUGAACUUAAGCAUAUCAAUA
This 614-nucleotide ribosomal RNA is filed under the name fungal sp. APA-2013. RNAcentral's name for it is "eukaryotic LSU rRNA". The stretch from base 245 to 397 matches the Rfam family "5.8S ribosomal RNA". Lineage: Eukaryota; Fungi. The record is from RNAcentral.